This 406-nucleotide ribosomal RNA is filed under the name uncultured bacterium. RNAcentral's name for it is "partial 16S ribosomal RNA". It matches the Rfam family "Bacterial small subunit ribosomal RNA", at positions 30 to 526 of the family's 1533-position model. The record is from RNAcentral.
AUUGAACGCUGGCGGCAGGCCUAACACAUGCAAGUCGAACGAGUGGCGGACGGGUGAGUAAUGUCUGGGAAACUGCCCGAUGGAGGGGGAUAACUACUGGAAACGGUAGCUCAUACCGCAUACCAUCGGAUGUGCCCAGAUUGGAUUAGCUCGUAGGUGGGGUAACGGCGCACCUAGGCGACGAUCCCUAGCUGGUAUGAGAGGAUGACCAGCCACACUGGAAAUGAGACACGGUCCAGACUCCGACGGGAGGCAGCAGUGGGGAAUAUUGCACAAUGGGCGCAAGCCUGAUGCAGCCAUGCCGCGUGUAUGAAGAAGGCCUUCGGGUUGUAAAGUACUUUCAGCGAGGAGGCGUUACUCGCAGAAGAAGCACCGGCUAACUCCGUGCCAGCAGCCGCGGUAAUUC